Pezoporus occidentalis (night parrot) is the source of this 6542-nucleotide long non-coding RNA. RefSeq lists it as uncharacterized. The record is from RefSeq and is a predicted model, not a curated record. Lineage: Eukaryota; Metazoa; Chordata; Aves; Psittaciformes; Psittacidae. The transcript has 2 exons.
ACAGGCAGGGUCAGCCUAUGGUGGGCCAGAGCACACCAUAGCUCCCUGUGUCCCCCACACCUGGGCUUCUGUUUUGCAGAAGUGCAGCAAAGAUGAGAGGAUGAGUGGGUAUCGGUGGGUCCCAGUGGGUUGAGGUACCUAGCAAGACCCGGGAAUUUGGAUGUUUUCCCAGGUUCUCACACCAGGAAUAUCAGGGACACAAAAGGCUUGCUCCAGGUUACACAAGAAGUCUGUGGUGGAUUAGGCUGGCUUCUAAACCAGUACUCAAACAACCAGAUUUACAUGGUACUGGGAGAACACACCAUUCACAGUGGGCAGCAUGUGGAUAAGGUAGAGGAGGGAAUGAUCAGCCAGUGAUUGUGCAUACAAAGGGCCAUUACUCAUUAUUUACUAACUCAAUGUCCAACCUGUACCUGCUGUUGCAACAGCGUGUGCUUUAAUCAUAUUAGAAAAAUUGCACUUCUGCUUCCAAAAUCAAUUUCAUGUAGAUGUUGCUGCCAUUAUAUACAAGGCCAGAUCCUCAAUACGGCAAUCAGAAGAGUUCUGUUGACUUUGGAGAAGAUGUAAUGAUUCAUAUCUGCUGGGGAGCUGAUCCUCAAUCACAGAACGUUGAGAUAAGAGAAAAUGUUGAGCUGUGAUGACUGAGCAGCAUCUUGAGAAUGAUUAACAGGCUUCCUUUCUGGGGGGGAUGGGAGAAAUACAGUCUAUGUGCAGAGAGGCGGCACCCAUCAUAAAUAGUAAUUAAAUCCCACGUGAGCUUUAUUUUGAAGGUGUAAGUGGAAUAAAAACAGUGCAUAGGAGAUAAUUUUAUGAGUAGGCUUUGAUCUGUUUAGAACAUGGUGGACUCAAGUCGGAAAUUUGGGAAGACUGAAUUAAAAUGCAACACCUAACACAAAAAUAAAAGGUUGCUGUGUAUCAUGAAGGGACACCCACCGCAUAUACAAAGCAGAGGAAAAAAAGUUGUCCAUCAUUACCUUGUUUCCCUGAGCAAAUGGCAGCAUUUUACUGCAGGACACACCAGGAGCAGGAAGCUCACCCCAAGGUUGAUAGAAAUUUCCUUUAGGAUGUGUCUGCCAGCUUACAAAGGGGGAUUGGCAGCCUCCCUCCCCCAGUUGCCACCCCAGCUGGAAUAUCACACCCCGGCGGUAGCUCUCGGGGGACAGCAGUGAGCCAGCAUGUGCAACAACUGUUUGAAGGGGGCAUUAAAGCAUGUCAUAAAAGCUUGCAGCCAGAAGCAAGACAGGAAUGUUUUCAUGAGGCAUCCAUAGGUUAUGAAGUGCUGGGUGUGCAGACAGCUAUUAAAUACAAGUCAGAGAGCAAAGCACUCACAAAACACAGGAAACCACAUGUUCAUUUCUUCUCAAGAAGCCAAGAGAGCAGAAAGGCAGCGUCCCAGGCAAAGUCCUUGUCCCCUUUCUCUCAUGUCAAGCAUUCAGGUUGGCUCCUGCUGUGGAUCCGCUGCUCAUGCACGGGAGUGCAUGGCAGUAACUGGCCAGUGCCAGGUGACAUUGAUGAAGGGAUGGCUAUGUGAUCAGCUGUAGGGUGCUCCUCCUCCCCUCCAGGAUGAGGCAGUGAUGCUGCCUGUGUGGCCAUGUCCAGGAAACCAGGAGAAAUUGGCUUGAAGGAAAUAGACCUGUUUUAAAUUGCCAGGGUCGGCUCUUCAGAUGGGCAGCCUGGAAAAGUCAUUGCAGCUACACCAGUAUAAGGGACCUACUCCUAAUUUUAUGGAUGUUUACACGCUGAGUUUUGUAGCAAUCCACCAGGACUGAUUACCUAUCCAUGCUGGAAAUGGAGGGUCAAGAAAUUAGAAUUUUGCUUUGAAUACCACCAUUCCUUGUGGCAUAUCUGUGACUGCAGCUGAGCAACCCACCUUCGAUUUCCUCUACUCCAAACUAUUUCCUUUUUUGUUUUAUGGGGGUUUAAAUUGUAGUUACCACUUAAUAUCAAGUGUGGCUGACUAACUAGUGGAUUUGCACCGUACAGUACAAGGUAGGGGAGCACAUGACUAAACAGAGGACAAAGAAUUGCUUAAAAUGGCUGAGUACUAAAAACCUCUCCAGCCGCGCCAGUACGUACUCAUUUGUGGGUUUUGUAAUCUGUUAAAUAUUUUUCAAUUCAGUAUUUUUCUUAGUUUGUCAUGGGUUUUGUCCUUCUGGGUUUGGGUUUUUUUAAUUCUCUUCCCUGUGAAUUCAAUGUACUAAAAAUACCAACUAACGGUCUCUUUGUGCAGUGAAAUCAGGUUGGUGAAAACUGGUUUUGUGCAAGCAGCAUGAUAAAAGGUGCGUUCAGAAAUAUAUCCAACAAGUAAGGUCUCUGCAGGGUGUAAGUCUUCUGAAAAGGGAAGCUGAAUCCUGCAAGCCCAUCCAUUGCGGGCUUGUGCUGCUAUUGAAGACAACCAUGAAUACGGUUUUGCAGGAUCAGGCCCCAGAGUUCAGCAUGAUUUACUUCCUGUCUGCUCUCCACAGCAUUUAACAGCUGAAAUAAAACAAGGAAUUAAUUUCUGUUUUAAAUUCUUGGCAAGCAGCUUCAUCUCAUUGCGUAUCUUACAUGGGAAUCAAAGGAUCCUGCCUUGUUACAGCUACUCGCGGAGUAAGGACUCGAGGGAGAUCAAGGUAUUUGCUGUCUCAGAUGAAAAUCAGGUUCUGACUGGUGGUAUUUUCAGUAACAGUUAACAAAGCCACAUUGCUAAAGAAAAGGCAAUAUCAUGGCUUCUCCGUUUUUUUUCACUCUUGCCCUAGUUAUGGUUCAUUUUUCGGCCAAACAGUUAACCAUUUCUGCAGUGCUUACCCAGUACCCUGCUCUUCCUGGUGGCUUCUAUCUAACUCUGUUUUAUUGUGAAGCAUUGGACUUUUGGAAAAUAUAGCCACCAAUUUGGUGGUAAACAAGCCUUGGCUUUAAGACAAAGCUUGUUUUAAUCUCCAUGAUCAGGCUACAGAUCUGACCAUGUAUUUUAUCAAACCUCUUGUGAAGAAAUCCUAUUCAUGAUUAUUAUCUAUAUGAGAAUAAAAAUGUCUAAUUACCUUAUAUUAAAUCUGUAUUUAUCAAUUGUAGCUUUCUCUGGGAAAUUGUAAUUUGCAGAAAUGCUCCACAUUCCAGGCUGUAACAGUUGGAGGUGGAUGUCCUUAAGGAUGGGAAAAAAAGUUCCUUUUUAAAUGGCACAUUUACUAAUUAUAAAAUGCUCUUAUCUCUCUGCAGCCAAAGCCAAAAUGAACAUGUGCCUUGCACUAAGAAAUCCCAGGAUUGUCACAACUUGUGCCAGCUGUUGAGGUUAUGACACCUGUGCCAGCAUCGCCAGCUCUGCCCACUGUCAUCUGUUCCAACUGUUCCAUCUGCACUGUUUGUACCAAUUCUCCCAUUUCUGCAUCUGUACCUUCUGCAGAAACGGGUCCAACAAUGCCAGCUGUGUCAUCGGUGCCAAAUAUGCCAGAUGUUCUAUUUGUCCACCCUGGGCCAAAUCAAUGUAGUUUUGUGCUCAUUAGUUUUAGCUGGUAGAUUCUAUUUCACAGUUUUUUGAGAUGCACUUAGAUCGAAUCAAUUCUAAAUCACCACUACAACUGCUUUACAUCUAUCUCGCCAUAAACAGAACUUUGUUUGUCAUCGCAUGCUUGGUCAAAAUUAUUCUGAUUUUAUUGAAUUGUGCACAAUGAUACAAGUUCUGUCUUCAUGACAAGAUUAUAUUUUUCCUGUAGAGGCUGUAGUUGCAGAGAAAUGAACAGAAAAAGGUAAGGGUCAUGGUAUUCAGGCUGUAAAUAAUCCCCAUGUUUACAGUAAAAAAUGUCCACCCAUUGAUAUACUGACAGGGAGAGCCCUAGUCCACCAGUGUUCACCAGGAGAAACCCAUCUGAUGUCAGUUUAGCUGUAGUGAGUAUGAUAAGCUGCAAGGGACAGAGGAAAGCAAAGCUGUAGAUAAGUAUUGACCAUGGGCAUGUUUACCAGGGCUCUGCUAAAGAUCUGUUCUCCCUACAACUCUCCUGCUCAGGAGAGAGGGAGCUGUUGUGCUGCCACUGGCCCUGCACAACCAGCUUAUGGCUGCACCUGGUCUCUAUAGCUUUUCUACUGGCAAGUCUAACCUGUACUGAUCUGGGUUACAUGUGGUCUGCCUUUUCUGUGCUUCACUAAUGACGUAAUAUUGGAAAGCCAAAUCCAUGAGUCACUAUUUAUUUGGAUUCAUCAUUUACUCAAAGGACUGUCCCACUUUGUGUCCUUGGCCACAUCUGGGUUCACUGAAGGUGAUGGGACUUCUGUAGAGGUUAUCCAGAUUCACUUAGAGGGAGGGUUUGCACGCUGGCAAAAGCAGUGUACUUCAUCCCGAUUAGCUUCUCUGGCUGGCCUGAUCUUGGAUCUGGCCAAAGGUCAAAAAUGGUCCUCAUCCACUCUUGGCAGCUCUGCCUAUGAAGAGGGAUGCUUCAUCAAGAGACUGUCCUACUCUGGUUGCCCCCACAGGGAAAUUCUCAGCAGAGCUCAACAGAGCGAUGGAAAAGGAAUGCAAUCGGAACUGAGAUUCAAUUGAAGAAUUUUAUACAGCUCCUGUUCUUUCUCAGCUUUUUUGCAUCUUUCUGGUUUCAUCUGGGUGAUGGUAACAAAGACAGAAGGAUCUUCUUUAAAAUCCUCCAUAAGAAUUCCUUAAAAAAGGAAUUUCCACAGGAAACUCUGCACAUGAAAAGCCCAAUGGGUGUGCCUGGAAAGGAUUCUUUUCUUGCAGGCUUUUGAAAAGAAUGAACCCAAUUUGUUAUAUUUAGUUUUUAUUGCAUUCAUUUAACGAAUGUCAUUACUUGCAGCUUUAAAAAUGACAGUGAGUUUAUGUGAGCUCUCCUGACACUUUUCUUAUUAUCCUGGUGGGCAACAGAAAUAGGCAGGGGAAAGAGGAGGAAAGCAGCUGAAGGGUGCCAAAACCCAGCGAAUAUCUAUGCAGCAAAAAAAACCAUUUAGGUGGUACUGAAAAUUUGCAGCAUUCAGCAGUGGUAUUGGAUUGCCUGUAGAAACUUUUUAAAAAAUACGAGAAUAGCUCAUUUGUUGGGUUUUCAAAAAAUAUCAGAUUUCACACUGGGCUGCUAUGAAGGGUGGAAAUUUUCUUGAAAAAUUGUCAUUUUAUACAACUCUAAUUAGCAAACUGUUCAUAUAAACCCGCAAGCUGUGCAGCAGAUUUCACUUCCAACAUCUCUACAGACAAGACAGAAUUUCACCUACUUAUUUACUGAUCAUGUCGCAGCAUCCUUUUCCUACUCGCUGAUGACUGUUCAGUGGCUUAUGUAAAAUGUGCUGGUGAUUUCAUGGCAUUUCCAUUGGACAAGUGUCCACAUGUUAAAGCAAAUCACCGUCACUGGCAUGCUCCUGUUGGCAGUCUCAUUAAGCAGGAACCAAGGAGCAAAAGAUUGAAUUAUCUUUUCAAUGUGAGAGAUGGCACAACCAAAGGCAAUUGGAAAACAUGGAUGGGGCUGUUUGGGGUCUUAUGUACUACUCUUUCCAUCUUGGAAUACCUUUCAGCAGCAUGAAUAUUUAUGACUGUACUUUGUCCUGUUACAGACAAAAUAAGAGAUGCCCAAGGGGAUUUGGUCAAUGCAAAUAAAAGCUAUGUUUGCAAGCAUGAGUAAAUCUCAGUCACGGUACUUGGCAUUUUGUGUCAAAUACAGCUAAAGCGCGAAAUUGCAAGAGAUAGAAAUGAUUUCAGAACAGAACUGUUGUUAGAAGGUCACUGGAAAGAAGUGGAGCCUUGAGCAAUGUGUCCUCCCUCUUUCAGGCCACGGGUCAGGCAGCGUUGCCUGUGUUUUGUACACAGCCACUUGGGCUUCAGUAAUCCUGACUGAAUCUCCCAUUUCUUUGAGGUGGUAAACUCACAAAUACUGGUUGGAUCUCUCAUUCCUCCAGUAGUCAACUUGUAGCUUCCACUCUUUUCUUACGUGUUUCAAAAUGCACUUUUAUCCCUGAAAAGUUUUUUAUGCUGGAAGAAUACUUCAAAGCCACACUCAUUGGACACCAUGGCGGAGGUUGACAAGGAAAGAUAAUGCCUGGUUAAAAUCAAGCAGAUUUAUUCCAUUCUUACUUUAUUGGUAGCCUAAUAAAGCAAUGAAAAACAAAAAAACUAAAAAGACAGUGCAAGAAGGUUCACACUCUACAAGCACCUGCUCUGUAUUUCUAAUAAAAAGUUUAUCUUCCUUCCCUAAUUGUCUUAUAUCAGGUCACGGUGAAGAGAAAAAUCCUUCUAACUGUUUUCAUUUAAUUUCACUGCUUUUGCCAAUAUUUAGAGAGAUUGUUGAUGCAUUAAUGUUACCUAAAUAAGAUGCAUUUCAUUAAAACUGUUACUGAUAAUAUUUAGUCAUUCCUUUGUAUGUAAAUAAAGUGAAAUUUCUCAGAGUAGAAACAAGUCAAGUGAAAGUUUCCCUGUGCUCUUCACAUGUCUCUGUAAACUUACAGCAUUCUCAGAUACGGUGUCUUCGAUUUCAAGGACUAGAAAGUAUAUAACAUGAUUUUUUGUUCAUUUUGCCUACAGUCAUUAUGACUUCCAGUUCAAACUACACAGAACAAUAAAAUUAAACUUAUAUAUG